AAGAAAGCAAUGGGGGAUUGACACAUGUUGAUAUGUCUUAUCAAAACAAAACACACUGGAGGGUAGUAAAGACCCCUGAAAAUCCUGACCUACCAAAUCCCUGAGAUCUUCAAGUUUUCCUGCUUUUGCCACUAACUCCACAUUCUAUUUCUGUAUUAACAGCUCCUCCCUUCCAGCAUCCCCAGACUUAGGAUGCACUUUUUUCUACAACUUCCACCUUCCACAGCUCCCAGCAUUCACUUGGCUACCUAACAUGCUUUACCUAAGGAAUCCUCCUGCAUCUGAUACUAACUUGAUGGCCUUCAGUAUACUUGGAAAACUUUCCACACUGGCACCAUGUAAAAUCCAGUAUCCAUUAUGACCAUUUAUUUCACCAAAGACAAAUGCAUACACAAGCUCUCACAAUCUUCAGGAAGAAUCUAGCUUUCUAUGGUUCUAACACCAUGCCCCUGGAUAAUCCAGUGCCUUCUGACUAUUUUUAAAGAGGGUUUAAGAACUGUUGUCAUUGCCUCUGGUGUCUCAGGUCAUAAGGCCCCAGGACACCUAAAUACCUUACCCACUCAAGUUUUCUGUCUGUCUAGACUGACUGGGGUAACAGUUUUUCAUUGAUGAGCAUGCAGUGCCAUUGGAAGGCAUCACUCACCCUUCCUGACUAUUCUAAGCCCACCUCCUACCAUCUUCCCUUCCUAUUAAAGAAAUGGAAGC
This is a long non-coding RNA of Alexandromys fortis (reed vole), 705 nucleotides long. RefSeq lists it as uncharacterized. NCBI's taxonomy places the organism in Eukaryota, Metazoa, Chordata, Mammalia, Rodentia, Cricetidae. The record is from RefSeq and is a predicted model, not a curated record. The transcript is spliced from 2 exons.